AUGGUGAGAGAUGGCGUUAGGUUGGGGCAUAACACAUCCAGGAGGGUGCUAUGGGCCCCGCCCAUCCCUACCCCAGCCCUACUUGAUAAGAAGGUCAAUGUCCACAAAGGUCACACAAAGAAACCUAAAAGUAGCUGGGUUCUGGGAUUCUGUUCACACCACUCUCGUCUGCAGAUUUUAUUUCCGCAUCUGGGCUCUGUUCUAAAUCCUAGGAGGAUUUUCCCCCAUGAAUUUAACAUGACUGACGAAGACUGCUCCAGGGGCUCUGCUGCUGCAUAUGGCCAGGAGAGCAUGCGAGUGAGCGGUACGGGGUGGAGGAGAGCGACAAGGCCACCAUUUGUAAGCUUCUUCAAGGGCCGUCCCUACACGUGUGGAACGAUGCUCAUGCAUGCUGGGCGGGUAUGGCCCUUAGACUCAAGGCAGCACCUUCUGGAAUGGUACUCAGGUUAUCUAUUCGAGUCCAACUCCCUACCGUGUCUGACCAUGGCUUUCCUGGGUUUUAGGUAUUCUAUAAGCUCUACCAAAGCAAGUGUAACCUCCACAAAUGAACCAGUUACACUGGAAAAGGAAACUGGAAGCAGAAUUAUAAACCUCAGUGCCUCCUCUUUCCCCUCUUUGUAGGAGAACGUGUAAGGUGUACGUACAUAAGGUAUAAAACGUAGUAUCUAGUCUGGGGGAGCCAUGACCUCCCCUCACCUGGGUUUGGUUCCAGACCACCUCACAAUAAAUGGAAUAUCACAAUCA
RNAcentral lists this long non-coding RNA (744 nucleotides) under Felis catus (domestic cat). RNAcentral describes it as "lncRNA (ENSFCAG00000051625.1)". The record is from RNAcentral. Lineage: Eukaryota; Metazoa; Chordata; Mammalia; Carnivora; Felidae.